This 128-nucleotide non-coding RNA is filed under the name Streptomyces pratensis. The record is from RNAcentral. Lineage: Bacteria; Bacillati; Actinomycetota; Actinomycetes; Kitasatosporales; Streptomycetaceae.
AGAGGAAGCCGGUGCGAAUCCGGCGCGGUCCCGCCACUGUCACCGGGGAGCAGCCUCCACACGGAAUUCACGGUCCGCCACCGCGGACCGGAAGGCCGGAGGCUGCGGAUCCGGGAGCCAGGAGACUC